This 506-nucleotide ribosomal RNA is filed under the name uncultured bacterium. RNAcentral describes it as "partial 16S ribosomal RNA". It matches the Rfam family "Bacterial small subunit ribosomal RNA", at positions 29 to 523 of the family's 1533-position model. The record is from RNAcentral.
AGUGAACGCUGGCGGUAGGCCUAACACAUGCAAGUCGAACGGCAGCACAGGAGAGCUUGCUCUCUGGGUGGCGAGGGGCGGACGGGUGAGGAAUACAUCGGAAUCUACUCUGUCGUGGGGGAUAACGUAGGGAAACUUACGCUAAUACCGCAUACGACCUACGGGUGAAAGCAGGGGACCUUCGGGCCUUGCGCGAUUGAAUGAGCCGAUGUCGGAUUAGCUAGUUGGCGGGGUAAAGGCCCACCGAGGCGACGAUCCGUAGCUGGUCUGAGAGGAUGAUCAGCCACACUGGAACUGAGACACGGUCCAGACUCCUACGGGAGGCAGCAGUGGGGAAUAUUGGACAAUGGGCGCAAGCCUGAUCCAGCCAUACCGCGUGGGUGAAGAAGGCCUUCGGGUUGUAAAGCCCUUUUGUUGGGAAAGAAAUCCAGCUGGCUAAUACCCGGUUGGGAUGACGGUACCCAAAGAAUAAGCACCGGCUAACUUCGUGCCAGCAGCCGCCGUAA